CCUACGGGUGACAGCAGUGAGGAAUAUUGGUCAAUGGGCUUACGCCUGAACCAGCCAAGUCGCGUGAGGGAAGACUGCCCUAUGGGUUGUAAACCUCUUUUUUCAGGGAGCAACGCCGGCUACGUGUCACCGGACUGAGAGUACCUGAAGAAACAGCAUCGGCUCACUCCGUGCCAGCAGCCGCGGUAAUACGGAGGAUGCGAGCGUUAUCCGGAUUUAUUGGGUUUAAAGGGUGCGCAGGCGGAAUGCCAAGUCAGCGGUAAAAGCGCGGGGCUCAACCUCGCUCCGCCGUUGAAACUGGCUGUCUUGAGUGGGCGAGAAGUAUGCGGAAUGCGGGGUGUAGCGGUGAAAUGCAUAGAUAUCACGCAGAACUCCGAUUGCGAAGGCAGCAUACCGGCGCCCAACUGACGCUGAAGCACGAAAGCGUGGGUAUCGAACAGGAUUAGAUACCCGGGUAGUC
This 460-nucleotide ribosomal RNA is filed under the name uncultured bacterium. RNAcentral describes it as "partial 16S ribosomal RNA". It matches the Rfam family "Bacterial small subunit ribosomal RNA", at positions 338 to 795 of the family's 1533-position model. The record is from RNAcentral.